This 251-nucleotide ribosomal RNA is filed under the name uncultured prokaryote. RNAcentral describes it as "partial 16S rRNA". It matches the Rfam family "Bacterial small subunit ribosomal RNA", at positions 525 to 775 of the family's 1533-position model. The record is from RNAcentral.
ACGUAGGAGACGAGCGUUAUCCGGAUUUACUGGGCGUAAAGCGCGUGCAGGCGGCAUGGCAAGUUGGAUGUGAAAGCUCCCGGCUUAACUGGGAGAGGUCGUUCAAUACUGCCAGGCUUGAGAGUGGUAGAGGGAAGCGGAAUUCCGGGUGUAGUGGUGAAAUGCGUAGAUAUCCGGAGGAACACCAGUGGCGAAAGCGGCUUCCUGGCCCAUUUCUGACGCUCAGACGCGAAAGCUAGGGUAGCAAACGG